UGGGGAAUUUUCCGCAAUGGGCGAAAGCCUGACGGAGCAACGCCGCGUGGGGGAAGAAGGUUCUUGGAUUGUAAACCCCUUUUCUCAGGGAAGAAGUUCUGACGGUACCUGAGGAAUCAGCCUCGGCUAACUCCGUGCCAGCAGCCGCGGUAAUACGGAGGAGGCAAGCGUUAUCCGGAAUCAUUGGGCGUAAAGCGUUCGUAGGCGGCUGUUCAAGUCUGCUGUCAAAGACCGAGGCUCAACCUCGGGUCGGCAGUGGAAACUGGAUAGCUAGAGGUCGGUAGGGGCAAAGGGAAUUCCCAGUGUAGCGGUGAAAUGCGUAGAUAUUGGGAAGAACACCGGUGGCGAAAGCGCUUUGCUGGACCGAACCUGACGCUGAGGGACGAAAGCUAGGGGAGCGAAUG
RNAcentral lists this ribosomal RNA (404 nucleotides) under uncultured bacterium. RNAcentral's name for it is "bacterial SSU rRNA". It matches the Rfam family "Bacterial small subunit ribosomal RNA", at positions 355 to 774 of the family's 1533-position model. The record is from RNAcentral.